Molecule: long non-coding RNA, 1946 nt
Filed under: Salmo salar (Atlantic salmon)
Lineage: Eukaryota; Metazoa; Chordata; Actinopteri; Salmoniformes; Salmonidae
Description: lncRNA (ENSSSAG00000101885.1)
Source: RNAcentral
CUGCGCUGCUCGGCGAAGCGCAAUAGGUAUGCAUUCCCUGACUUCUGCAGAGGCCGUAUCACUGUAAAUACUGUACGGCCAAUGCCGACAUCGAACUGAGCGUGGAGUCUAAGUGAGAGCAGCAUACCUUGAAGUUGGUGUUGUGGCACAUCUUGGUCGGCUUGUCCAAGUGUUUAAUCAGUAAUGAACAGCAUAAAAAAGACAUAUCUGCAUCCCGUCAUGAUGAUAAAGUAACCAACCUGUCCAGGAACAGAGAGGACUUACCCUGGUAGCAGACGCAGAGGAACAGAACAGAGAAGAGGAUCUUGGCACUGUCCAUGGUAGACACCAUGAUGGGUCACUGAUAACCUGAGCUUUACGGAGGUGUCUGGACUAACACUGAGUGAAGAUCUCUUCCAGAGAACAGAAGAAAUUGGGGGAGGGACCUUGGACCUUGUCUUCCAAUCAGAGUAUGUGAGCGGAGCUGGAGCGGAGUGAGGAGUGGUGCUGGAGCGGAGCAUGCCCAAUUUGACUGGAGCGCGGAGUGAGAUUCCCAAAGGCUGGAGUGACGUCUUUCUCUUCCGCUCCAAUAGCGCUCACUUCACGAGCUCAAGGCAUGCCUGGCCCAGCAUGCAUUUGUAGUCUACUUCUGUGCUACUAAAGCCCCUUGCUUUAGCUACGGUCAUGAAGUUCGCAAAUUAUUUUCAUAAAGAAACUGAUAAUACACACAGGUGCUAAAUCAAGGUGAUUUACAAAGAUGAGGUAUAAGGGCACUAGGCGAGUCCCAGAUGCAGACACGGGAGGCAGAUGAUUUGAGUCUUUGAUAUUUGUUAUAAUCCAAAAGGGUAGGCAAGAGAAUGGGCGUGGACAGGCAAAAGGUCAAAACCAGUUCAGAGUCCAGGAGGUACAGAGUGGCAGGCAGGCCCGAGGUCAAGGCAGGCAGAAAGGUCAUGCAGGCCGGUACAGAGUCCAGAAACAGGCAAGGGUCAAAACCGGGAGGACUAGCAAAAAGAGAAUAGAAAAAGCAGGAGCACGGGAAAAACACGCUGGUUGACUUGAACAUACAAGACGAACUUGCACAGAGACAGGAAACACCGGCAUAAAUACACCGGGGAAAAUAUGCGACACUUGGAGGGGGGUGGAGACAAUCACAAGGACAGGUGAAACAGAUCAGGGCGUGACAUGAGGACCAAGAGCAAGAGAGGGAGUGCUGUGAUGUAGUGUCCACAACUAAAGAAUCGUUGUGGAAUCUGAAAAGACACAAAUCUUAAAGCAUGAUGGGAUACUUACUACAUAAACAUGCUGAAAGAAAGGAAUGAGGUGGGUAGCUCAUUAAGUGUGUCAUUGUAGCAAAGUAUUUUUAAACAAAAAAAAACAGAUCUCUUAAAAGUUUCAUUCAUUUUUGUUCUAUUACCGUUUACCAGAGGUAUUGAACUUUGACCCUACGAGGUACGGAGCCUGCUGGUUUUAUCUUCUACCUGAUACUUAAUUGCACCCACCUGGUGUCCCAGAUCUAAAUCAGUCCUUGAAUACAGGGGAACAAUGAAAAGACGCAGUGGAACUGGCUUUGAGGUCCAGAGUUGAGUUUGAGGGAUCUAUACGAUGGGCCAUAAUUGAUUUUGGCCGCAUACAACUGGCAUAUUCCCACUUUCAAGGACCUUUCUAUUUUGAUUGGGUUAUUUUGCCUGAAAACCUUUAGGCCUACCUACAGUGGCUUGCGGAAGUAUUUACCCCCCUGGCAUUUUUCUUUUUUUGUUGCCUUACAACCUAGAAUUAAAAUAGAUUUUUUUGGGGGUUGUAUCAUUUGAUUUACAAUUUGAAAAUGCAAAAGGUUUUUUCUUGUGAGACAAGAAAAAUAAUUUUAAAAAUUGAAAACUUCAGCAUGCAUAACUAUUCACCCCCCCAAAGUCAAUACUUUGUAGAGCCACCUUUUGCAGCAAGUUUCGGAUAUUUUUUUUAAACCCAAC